This 376-nucleotide ribosomal RNA is filed under the name Vibrio sp. KR06-47. RNAcentral describes it as "partial 16S ribosomal RNA". It matches the Rfam family "Bacterial small subunit ribosomal RNA", at positions 66 to 437 of the family's 1533-position model. The record is from RNAcentral. Lineage: Bacteria; Pseudomonadati; Pseudomonadota; Gammaproteobacteria; Vibrionales; Vibrionaceae.
ACAACAUUGACCCUUCGGGUGAUUUGUUGGGCGUCGAGCGGCGGACGGNUGAGUAAUGCCUGGGAAAUUGCCCUGAUGUGGGGGAUAACCAUUGNAAACGAUGGCUAAUACCGCAUANUGUCUACGGACCANAGAGGGGGACCUUCGGGCCUCUCGCUUCNNGAUAUGCCCAGGUGGNAUUANCUAGUUGGUGAGGUAAUGGNUCACCAAGGCGACGAUCCCUAGCUGGUCUGAGAGGAUGAUCANCCACACUGGAACUGANACACGGUCCAGACUCCUACGGGAGGCANCANUGGGGAAUAUUGCNCAAUGGGCGCAAGCCUGAUGCANCCAUGCCGCGUGUAUGAAGAANGCCUUCGGGUUGUAAAGUACUUNC